RNAcentral lists this ribosomal RNA (464 nucleotides) under uncultured bacterium. RNAcentral describes it as "partial 16S ribosomal RNA". It matches the Rfam family "Bacterial small subunit ribosomal RNA", at positions 339 to 795 of the family's 1533-position model. The record is from RNAcentral.
CUACGGGCGGCUGCAGUGGGGAAUAUUGGACAAUGGGCGAAAGCCUGAUCCAGCCAUGCCGCGUGUGUGAAGAAGGUCUUCGGAUUGUAAAGCACUUUAAGUUGGGAGGAAGGGCAGUCAGCGAAUACCUGGGUGUCUUGACGUUACCGACAGAAUAAGCACCGGCUAACUCUGUGCCAGCAGCCGCGGUAAUACAGAGGGUGCAAGCGUUAAUCGGAAUUACUGGGCGUAAAGCGCGCGUAGGCGGUUUGUCAAGUCGGAUGUGAAAUCCCCGGGCUCAACCUGGGAACUGCAUCCGAAACUGGCAAGCUAGAGUAUGGUAGAGGGUGGUGGAAUUUCCUGUGUAGCGGUGAAAUGCGUAGAUAUAGGAAGGAACAUCAGUGGCGAAGGCGACCACCUGGACCAAUACUGACGCUGAGGUGCGAAAGCGUGGGGAGCAAACAGGAUUAGAUACCCGAGUAGUC